GCAAGUCUGGUGCCAGCAGCCGCGGUAAUUCCAGCUCCAAUAGCGUAUAUUAAAGUUGUUGCAGUUAAAAAGCUCGUAGUUGAAUUUCGGGAUCAGAUUGUCGGUCGUGCCUCGGUACGCACUGGCAUUAUUGGUUCCUACCUUCUGAAGAACCGCGAUGUCAUUAAUUUGGUGUCACGGGGAAUCAGGACUGUUACUUUGAAAAAAUUAGAGUGUUUAAAGCAGGCGCACGCUUGAAUACAUUAGCAUGGAAUAAUGAAAUAGGACGUUUGAUUCUAUUUUGUUGGUUUCUAGGAUCGACGUAAUGAUUAAUAGGGAUAGUUGGGGGCAUUAGUAUUCAAUUGUCAGAGGUGAGAUUCUUGGAUUUAUUGAAGACUAACUACUGCGAAAGCAUUUGCCAAGGAUGUUUUCAUUAAUCAAGAACGAAAGUUAGGGGAUCGAAGACGAUCAGAUACCGUCGUAGUCUUAACCAUAAACUAUGCCGACUAGGGAUCGGAUGAUGUUAAUUUUUUAAUGACUCAUUCGGCGCCUUACGGGAAAC
This 541-nucleotide ribosomal RNA is filed under the name uncultured Glomeromycotina. RNAcentral's name for it is "SSU rRNA". It matches the Rfam family "Eukaryotic small subunit ribosomal RNA", at positions 555 to 1098 of the family's 1831-position model. Lineage: Eukaryota; Fungi; Glomeromycota. The record is from RNAcentral.